AUUGAACGCUGGCGGCAUGCCUUACACAUGCAAGUCGAACGGCAGCACGGGUGCUUGCACCUGGUGGCGAGUGGCGAACGGGUGAGUAAUACAUCGGAACGUACCUUAUCGUGGGGGAUAACGCAGCGAAAGCUGUGCUAAUACCGCAUACGCCCUGAGGGGGAAAGCGGGGGAUCGCAAGACCUCGCGCGAUUAGAGCGGCCGAUGCCUGAUUGGCUAGUUGGUGGGGUAAAAGCCCACCGAGGCGACGAUCAGUAGCUGGUCUGAGAGGACGAUCAGCCACACUGGGACUGAGACACGGCCCAGACUCCUACGGGAGGCAGCAGUGGGGAAUUUUGGACAAUGGGGGCAACCCUGAUCCAGCAAUGCCGCGUGAGUGAAGAAGGCCUUCGGGUUGUAAAGCUCUUUUGUCAGGGAAGAAACACCGGCUCUAACACAGUCCGGGAAUGACGGUACCUGAAGAAUAAGCACCGGCUAACUACGUGCCAGCCGCCGCCGUAA
RNAcentral lists this ribosomal RNA (501 nucleotides) under uncultured bacterium. Its description in RNAcentral is "partial 16S ribosomal RNA". It matches the Rfam family "Bacterial small subunit ribosomal RNA", at positions 29 to 523 of the family's 1533-position model. The record is from RNAcentral.